UGGGUACUUUGGCAGCCGGUUAUAAACGGUUUUUAAGUCAUAUUUACCCCCAUUUCCAAGGAAAAACACAAAUACCCAAUGAGAAAUCAAAGAUCCAAAACUCUCUUCUCUUCCAAAAUUCACUCAAACUUCCAUUGGAGGACAAGCUCAAGAUCAAGAUCGAAGAUGAAUUUUCAAGUGCUUUCUUCUCCAAAUUUAAUCUGAUUUUAUUCUAUUAAGGUGGUGAUCGCCAGAGGAUCUUUCAUAGAAUUAGGAGCUUCGAUUCAUAUUCCCAUGUUAAAGUGUAUCCUUAAUGAUUCAAUAACCUUCAUGUCAUGAAUUUUAAUUAAGCUUAUGCUAUAGUUUAGAUUACUCUUUUAUAUUGUUAAGGGUCGUGUCCCUAUUUUGUUCUAUUGGAGUUGUGUCUUCAGAUUGCAAGACGAAUCUUAAUGUCAUAACUAUUUACUUAAGAAUUUUAAAUGAAGUGAUGUUUUAGCAUUGUAA
Long non-coding RNA from Solanum lycopersicum (tomato), 483 nucleotides. RefSeq lists it as uncharacterized. NCBI's taxonomy places the organism in Eukaryota, Viridiplantae, Streptophyta, Magnoliopsida, Solanales, Solanaceae. The record is from RefSeq and is a predicted model, not a curated record.